AACGAACGCUGGCGGCAGGCCUAACACAUGCAAGUCGAACGGUAACGCGGGGCAACCUGGCGACGAGUGGCGAACGGGUGAGUAAUGCAUCGGAACGUGCCCAGUAGUGGGGGAUAGCCCGGCGAAAGCCGGAUUAAUACCGCAUACGACCUACGGGGGAAAGGGGGGGAUCGCAAGACCUCUCGCUAUUGGAGCGGCCGAUGUCAGAUUGGGUAGUUGGUGGGGUAAAGGCCUACCAAGCCGACGGUCUGUAGCUGGUCUGAGAGGACGACCAGCCACACUGGGACUGAGACACGGCCCAGACUCCUCCGGGAGGCAGCAGUGGGGAAUUUUGGACAAUGGGCGAAAGCCUGAUCCAGCCAUGCCGCGUGCGGGAAGAAGGCCUUCGGGUUGUAAACCGCUUUUGUCAGGGAAGAAAUCUUCUGAGCUAAUACCUCGGGAGGAUGACGGUACCUGAAGAAUAAGCACCGGCUAACUACGUGCCAGCCGCCGCAGUAA
RNAcentral lists this ribosomal RNA (498 nucleotides) under uncultured bacterium. RNAcentral's name for it is "partial 16S ribosomal RNA". It matches the Rfam family "Bacterial small subunit ribosomal RNA", at positions 29 to 523 of the family's 1533-position model. The record is from RNAcentral.